Peromyscus leucopus (white-footed mouse) is the source of this 1397-nucleotide long non-coding RNA. RefSeq lists it as uncharacterized. NCBI's taxonomy places the organism in Eukaryota, Metazoa, Chordata, Mammalia, Rodentia, Cricetidae. The transcript has 3 exons. The record is from RefSeq and is a predicted model, not a curated record.
UUUCUGGCUUCUAAGAGCAGCAAGAGGAAAGAGAUCUGAAAGAUGAAGCUGGGCUCUCUUUCAGCAGUGCCUGCAACAUCAUGUGAUCUAGGUUAUUUAUUGAAUCGUUCUAAGGGUCAGUUUCCCCAUUUGUAAAAUGGGUAAAUACUUCCUUCUAGCAGUGUUUGGCCAAGUGUGGAGAGUGGUUCCCAUACCCCUCUGCAGGCAUUCACCUGGAAGCUUGGCCCUUUGAACCAGAAUCUCGGAAGGUGGAGCCCAGCAAUCUGUCCUAACAGGCCUUCAAGGUGAUGCUGAUGGAUGCUGAAGCUUGAGAACCACUACCCUAGAGAUCUCGGGAAGGCUGGGGAAGACUAUGUGAACUCCAGCAGGCCUCAGGAGCAUGAGGGGACCUAGGUCACCUGAUCUGUCCUAAAGGAACAUCACAAGCAAGGUUUUAACGCUUGUUGUCCAGUUAUCACAAGGCCUAUCGUCAAGGACAUAGUGUCCACUGGAGGCAGCAUCCCAUCAGCCACACACUGGACAAGCAAACAUGGAUUUCUUUUGAGGGUACUGGUAUUCAUUCACCCAGCUAGACUUAGUCCAUAGACAUACUUGGGCCUGCCCUUGGAAACCUAUUCAUCCUCUUGCAUGGAUCAAGCUGUUUCUGCUUCUGACUUUCCAGCCACCUAACCGUGAGUGAACCCUGAGAGCAUCCUGUAGGACAUGUGACCUCACUGAAGGAGAAGCAGAACUGAAGGAAGAGGGGCUGGAGGUAUGGGAGGCAGUGCCAGAGUGACAAGUCUUGAGGUAGUAGGAAACUGAGAAGAAGGCAAACCUCAUGGGCUGAAAUCUGGCCACUAAGGAUUGGAUCCAUUUCAGCAACAUUUGAAAAUCACACCAUCCAAAUUCUUAACCAAAGUUAUUUAUAUUAGCUGGAGAAGCGCUCCUCCUCAUCCUCACCCCAUCUUCUAGCCAGAAGCAAUCUGCUCUGGGAUUAGUGGGUGAUGUAGUGUCAAGGGUUCAGGUUUCUAGGGUUGUGCUGCUAUGCGCAAGGUCAUCCCAUGCUCCAAGAUGCUUGCUUGAGGUCCAGCCAUGGUAUCUGCACCCCAGAAAGCAGGAAUCCCUUUCACACUUCUCCCGAACACACUUGAAACACCUUUCCUAGAUGUUCUAUAUACCUUUCCUAACUGUGUCUCAUUGGUUAGAACCUCACACGACUGGACAUGGCAGCAAGCAAGGCAGUAAUCUCCCCUGGGUUGUGAUAUUCUCAAUUAAUAUAGGGGUUCCCGAGAGAAGCGAAGUCCCAGACUGGAGGGCAGUUUGAAUCAGCACCAUAGAUGUGAACUCUUUCCUCAGGCCCAAAAGACUAACUUUUAUUGCUAUUUUAAUUUUGCCUUUGUCUUCCUUCCUUCCUUCCU